RNAcentral lists this RNase P RNA (400 nucleotides) under Acidiferrobacterales bacterium. RNAcentral's name for it is "RNase P RNA component class A". It matches the Rfam family "Bacterial RNase P class A". From Rfam's summary of the family: Ribonuclease P (RNase P) is a ubiquitous endoribonuclease, found in archaea, bacteria and eukarya as well as chloroplasts and mitochondria. Its best characterised activity is the generation of mature 5'-ends of tRNAs by cleaving the 5'-leader elements of precursor-tRNAs. Cellular RNase Ps are ribonucleoproteins. The record is from RNAcentral. Lineage: Bacteria; Pseudomonadati; Pseudomonadota; Gammaproteobacteria; Acidiferrobacterales.
AGAGUCGGUCGGGCAGUCGCUUGGCAGUGUCGUCAGCACAGUGUGCUGACCGCCUGUCGGGAGGAAAGUCCGGGCUCCUAGGGCAGGGUGCCAGGUAAUACCUGGGCGGUGUGAACCGACGGAAAGUGCCACAGAAAAUAUACCGCCUGAGAUGUCAUUCCCGUCAGGGAUUGACGCCGAGGGUAAGGGUGAAAUGGUGCGGUAAGAGCGCACCGCGCUGGCGGCAACGGCAACGGCAGGGUAAACCCCACCUGGAGCAAGACCAAAUAGAAAUCUGUGAACGCGGCCCGCGUUGGAUUUGGGUAGGUUGCUGGAGAUUUUCAGUGAUGGAAAUCCUAGAUGAAUGGCUGCCGACGAUCAUCUGAUCGUACAGAACCCGGCUUACAGACCGACUCUUUUC